RNAcentral lists this ribosomal RNA (274 nucleotides) under uncultured bacterium. RNAcentral's name for it is "partial 16S ribosomal RNA". It matches the Rfam family "Bacterial small subunit ribosomal RNA", at positions 523 to 796 of the family's 1533-position model. The record is from RNAcentral.
CUACGGUGGGUGCAAGCGUUAUCCGGAAUCACUGGGCGUAAAGGACGCGUAGGCGGGUUGGCAAGUCAGAUGAGAAAUCCUACAGCUUAACUGUAGAACUGCAUUUGAAACUGCUAACCUAGAGUAUGGGAGGGGGAGAUGGAAUUAGUGGUGUAGGGGUAAAAUCCGUAGAUAUCACUAGGAAUACCGAAAGCGAAGGCGAUCUCCUGGAACAUAACUGACGCUAAGGCGUGAAAGCGUGGGGAGCAAACAGGAUUAGAAACCCUUGUAGUCC